RNAcentral lists this ribosomal RNA (465 nucleotides) under uncultured bacterium. RNAcentral describes it as "partial 16S ribosomal RNA". It matches the Rfam family "Bacterial small subunit ribosomal RNA", at positions 338 to 795 of the family's 1533-position model. The record is from RNAcentral.
CCUACGGGUGGCAGCAGUGGGGAAUAUUGCGCAAUGGGCGAAAGCCUGACGCAGCGACGCCGCGUGAGGGAUGAAGGUCUUCGGAUCGUAAACCUCUGUCAGCAGGGAAGAACGGUCACUGUGCUAAUCAGCAGUGAAUUGACGGUACCUGCAACGGAAGCACCGACUAACUCCGUGCCAGCCGCCGCGGUAAUACGGAGGGUGCGAGCGUUAAUCGGAAUUACUGGGCGUAAAGCGCUCGUAGGCGGUAUGUCAAGUCAAGGGUGAAAUCCCCGCGCUCAACGUGGGAACUGCCUUUGAAACUGGCAAACUGGAGUGUGUGAGAGGAUAGUGGAAUUCCAGGUGUAGGAGUGAAAUCCGUAGAUAUCUGGAGGAACAUCAGUGGCGAAGGCGACUAUCUGGCACAUAACUGACGCUGAGGAGCGAAAGCGUGGGUAGCAAACAGGAUUAGAUACCCCAGUAGUC